GAGGAAUAUUGGUCAAUGGGCGAGAGCCUGAACCAGCCAAGUCGCGUGCAGGAAGAAUGUCCUAUGGAUUGUAAACUGCUUUUGCAGGGGAAUAAAGUGAGCCACGUGUGGUUUUUUGUAUGUACUCUGCGAAUAAGGAUCGGCUAACUCCGUGCCAGCAGCCGCGGUAAUACGGAGGAUCCGAGCGUUAUCCGGAUUUAUUGGGUUUAAAGGGUGCGUAGGCGGGAUAAUAAGUCAGUGGUGAAAGUUUGCAGCUUAACUGUAAAAUUGCCGUUGAAACUGUUAUUCUUGAGAGUAGAUAAGGUAGGCGGAAUGUGUUGUGUAGCGGUGAAAUGCAUAGAUAUAACACAGAACCCCGAUUGCGAAGGCAGCUUACCGGGCUACAUCUGACGCUGAUGCACGAAAGCGUGGGGAUCAAAC
Molecule: ribosomal RNA, 420 nt
Filed under: uncultured bacterium
Lineage: Bacteria
Description: bacterial SSU rRNA
Rfam family: Bacterial small subunit ribosomal RNA
Source: RNAcentral